GUCGGUCUGCCCGUGCAGCGACGAUUAUGCAUGCGUUCCUCUUCAUAUCUAGGCACAAGUGCGACUUAGCCUUGGCCGAAAGUAAGUUUUCCUGUAUUUAAUACCUACUAGAUGGAAUUUUAUCGUCGACUAUUGAAUGAUCGCCUAAUGCCGCCCCUCGCCGGGGGCGGCGGGGACCCACAAACCGUAAUUUGGGACCCCCAAGGCAAACCAUUCUUUGCGCCAAGCCCCACACUUUUUGGUUCGAACUAAGGAAUUCAAAACAUACCGGGGGCAUGGGUUCUCAACCCUUAUUUGCAACACUAUCCAAAAACAUCCAACCAACGUUCAAUGGUGCGCUGGCCCUAGGGCCCUCCACUUCGUUGCCCCCAAGAAUGGCUACCG
This 384-nucleotide unclassified non-coding RNA is filed under the name Galium humifusum. RNAcentral's name for it is "partial external transcribed spacer". The record is from RNAcentral. Lineage: Eukaryota; Viridiplantae; Streptophyta; Magnoliopsida; Gentianales; Rubiaceae.